This 108-nucleotide ribosomal RNA is filed under the name Klebsiella michiganensis. Lineage: Bacteria; Pseudomonadati; Pseudomonadota; Gammaproteobacteria; Enterobacterales; Enterobacteriaceae. The record is from RNAcentral.
CGAUAGCGCGGUGGUCCCACCUGACCCCAUGCCGAACUCAGAAGUGAAACGCCGUAGCGCCGAUGGUAGUGUGGGGUCUCCCCAUGUGAGAGUAGGGCAUUGCCAGGC